UGGGGAAUAUUGGACAAUGGGCGAAAGCCUGAUCCAGCCAUGCCGCGUGUGUGAAGAAGGUCUUCGGAUUGUAAAGCACUUUAAGUUGGGAGGAAGGGCAGUAAGCGAAUACCUUGCUGUUUUGACGUUACCGACAGAAUAAGCACCGGCUAACUCUGUGCCAGCAGCCGCGGUAAUACAGAGGGUGCAAGCGUUAAUCGGAAUUACUGGGCGUAAAGCGCGCGUAGGUGGUUCGUUAAGUUGAAUGUGAAAGCCCCGGGCUCAACCUGGGAACUGCAUCCAAAACUGGCGAGCUAGAGUAGGGCAGAGGGUGGUGGAAUUUCCUGUGUAGCGGUGAAAUGCGUAGAUAUAGGAAGAAACACCAGUGGCGAAGGCGACCACCUGGGCUCAUACUGACACUGAGGUGCGAAAGCGUGGGGAGCAAACAGG
RNAcentral lists this ribosomal RNA (429 nucleotides) under Pseudomonadota bacterium. RNAcentral describes it as "Proteobacteria bacterium partial 16S ribosomal RNA". It matches the Rfam family "Bacterial small subunit ribosomal RNA", at positions 355 to 776 of the family's 1533-position model. Lineage: Bacteria; Pseudomonadati; Pseudomonadota. The record is from RNAcentral.